AGAGUUUGAUCCUGGCUCAGAACGAACGCUGGCGGCAGGCCUAACACAUGCAAGUCGAGCGGACCCUUCGGGGUUAGCGGCAGACGGGUGAGUAACGCGUGGGAACCUACCCAGUGGUACGGAAUAGCCCAGGGAAACUUGGGGUAAUACCGUAUACGCCCGAGAGGGGAAAGAUUUUAUCGCCAUUGGAUGGGCCCGCGUCGGAUUAGCUAGUUGGUGGGGUAAUGGCCUACCAAGGCGACGAUCCGUAGCUGGUCUGAGAGGAUGAUCAGCCACACUGGGACUGAGACACGGCCCAGACUCCUACGGGAGGCAGCAGUGGGGAAUAUUGGACAAUGGGCGAAAGCCUGAUCCAGCCAUGGCCGCGUGAGUGACGAAGGUCUUCGGAUUGUAAAGCUCUUUUGGCGGGGAAGAUAAUGACGGUACCCGCAGAAUAAGCCCCGGCUAACUUCGUGCCAGCAGCCGCGGUAAUACGAAGGGGGCUAGCGUUGUUCGGAAUCACUGGGCGUAAAGCGCACGUAGGCGGAUUUGCCAGUCAGGGGUGAAAUCCCGGGGCUCAACCUCGGAACUGCCUCUGAUACAGCAAGUCUAGAGUCCGGGAGAGGUGAGUGGAAUUCCUAGCGUAGAGGUGAAAUUCGUAGAUAUUAGGAGGAACACCAGUGGCGAAGGCGGCUCACUGGUCCGGCACUGACGCUGAGGUGCGAAAGC
This 708-nucleotide ribosomal RNA is filed under the name uncultured bacterium. Its description in RNAcentral is "bacterial SSU rRNA". It matches the Rfam family "Bacterial small subunit ribosomal RNA", at positions 8 to 760 of the family's 1533-position model. The record is from RNAcentral.